This 1338-nucleotide long non-coding RNA is filed under the name Cricetulus griseus (Chinese hamster). RNAcentral's name for it is "lncRNA (ENSCGRG00000026134.1)". Lineage: Eukaryota; Metazoa; Chordata; Mammalia; Rodentia; Cricetidae. The record is from RNAcentral.
GAGAGAGAGAGAGAGGGAGGGGGAGAGAGAGAGAGAGGGAGAGAGAGGGAGGGGGAUAGAGAGAGAGAUAGAGAGAGAGAGAGGGAGAGAGAGAGGGGAUAGAGAGAGAGAUAGAGAGAGAGGGAGAGAGAGAGGGAGGGGGAUAGAGAGGGAUAGAGAGAUAGAGAGAGAGAGGGAGAGAGAGGGGGGAUAGAGAGAGAGAGAGGGAUAGAGAGAGGGAGAGAAAGAGAGAGGAAGAGACAGAGAGAGGAGAGAGCGGAAGAGAGAGAGAGAGAGGGAUAGAGAGAGAGGGAGAGAGGGAGAGGAGAGGAAGAGAGAGAGAGAGGAAGAGGGAGAGAGAGAGGGAUAGAGAGAGAGAGGGAGAGAGGAAGAGGGAGAGGAGAGAGAGAGGGGGGAUAGAGAGAGAGGGGGGAGAGAGGGAUAGAGAGAGAGGAGAAAGAGAGGGGAAUAGAGAGGAGGGAGAGAGAGAGGGAGAGGAGAGAGAGAGAGAGGGAGGGGGAGAGAGGGAUAGAGAGAGGGAGAGAAAGAGAGAGGAAGAGACAGAGAGAGAGGAGAGAGAGGAAGAGAGAGAGAGAGGGAUAGAGAGAGAGAGGGGGGAUAGAGAGAGGGAGGGAGGGGGAGAGAGAGGGAUAGAGAGAGGGAGAGAGGGAGAGGAGAGAGAGGAGAAAGAGAGGGGAAUAGAGAGGAGGGAGAGAGAGGGAGAGGAGAGAGAGAGAGGGAGAGAGAGGGAUAGAGAGAGAGGGAAAGAGAGAGAAAGAGACAGAGAGAGGAGAGAGGAAGAGAGAGAGAGAGGGAUAGAGAGAUAGAGAGAGAGGAAGAGGGAGAGAGAGAGAGGAGAGAGAAAAAGAGGGAGAUAGAGAGGAGGGAGAGGAGGGAGAGAGAGGGAGAGAGAGGGGGAGAGAGAUGGGGGACAGAGAGAGAGGGGGGAUAGAGAGAGGGAGAGAGUGAGAGAGAGGAGAGAGAUGGGGAGAGAGGGAGAGGGAGAGACAGAGAGAGAGAAAGAGGGGGGAGAGAGGAGACAGGGAGAGAGAGGGAGAGAGAGGAGAGAGGGGGGAGAGAGAAAGAGAGGAGAGAGAUGGGGAGAGAGAGAGGGAGAGAGAUGGGGAGAGGGGGGUGGGAGAGAGGAGAGACAGAGAGGGGGGAGAGAGAGAGACAGAGACAGAGGAGAGAUAGGGAGAGAGGAGGGGGAGGAGAGAGAGACAGAGAGGAGAGAGAGGGGAGAGAGAGAGAGAGAGAGAGAGGGGGAGAGAGGAGAGAUAGAGAGACAGGGAGAGGGGGGAGAAAGAGGAGAGGGACAGAGAGAGAGAGGGGGAGAGAGAGAGAGAGAGAGAGGGGGAU